RNAcentral lists this ribosomal RNA (465 nucleotides) under uncultured bacterium. RNAcentral's name for it is "partial 16S ribosomal RNA". It matches the Rfam family "Bacterial small subunit ribosomal RNA", at positions 28 to 507 of the family's 1533-position model. The record is from RNAcentral.
GACGAACGCUGGCGGCGUGCUUAACACAUGCAAGUCGAACGGAAAGGCCCUGCUUGCAGGGUACUCGAGUGGCGAACGGGUGAGUAACACGUGGGUGAUCUGCCCUGCACUUCGGGAUAAGCCUGGGAAACUGGGUCUAAUACCGGAUAGGAGCCAUUUUUAGUGUGAUGGUUGGAAAGUUUUUUCGGUGUAGGAUGAGCUCGCGGCCUAUCAGCUUGUUGGUGGGGUAAUGGCCUACCAAGGCGGCGACGGGUAGCCGGCCUGAGAGGGUGGACGGCCACAUUGGGACUGAGAUACGGCCCAGACCCCUACGGGAGGCAGCAGUGGGGAAUAUUGCACAAUGGGCGCAAGCCUGAUGCAGCGACGCCGCGUGGGGGAUGACGGCCUUCGGGUUGUAAACUCCUUUCGCUAGGGACGAAGCUUUUUGUGACGGUACCUAGAUAAGAAGCACCGGCUAACUACGUG